Molecule: ribosomal RNA, 654 nt
Filed under: uncultured bacterium
Lineage: Bacteria
Description: bacterial SSU rRNA
Rfam family: Bacterial small subunit ribosomal RNA
Source: RNAcentral
GCGGCGCUGCUUUACACAUGCAAUCUCACGGGGGUCCCGCAAGGGAUAACCGGCUUCACGGGUGCGUAACACGUGAGCAACCUGCCUUUGUGUGGGGGAUAGCCGGGCUAACGCCCGGGUAAUACCGCAUACGGUCAUUUGGGGGAGUCCCUAGAUGAAGAAACCUCCGGGGCACAAAGAGGGGCUCGCGGCCUAUCAGCUAGUUGGCGGGGUAAUGGCCCACCAAGGCGACGACGGGUAGCUGGUCUGAGAGGAUGGCCAGCCACAUUGGGACUGAGAGACGGCCCAGACUCCUACGGGAGGCAGCAGUGGGGAAUCUUGCGCAAUGGCCGAAAGGCUGACGCAGCGACGCCGCGUGUGGGAGGACGCCUUUCGGGGUGUAAACCACUGUUGCCCGGGACGAACAGCCACUUUCGAGUGGCCUGACGGUACCGGGUGAGGAAGCACCGGCUAACUCCGUGCCAGCAGCCGCGGUAAUACGGAAGGUGCGAGCGUUGUCCAGAAUCAUUGGGCGUAAAAGGCGCGUAAGUGGACUGGAUCAGUUCGUGGUGAAAGCGCGGGGCUCAACCCGCGUCCGCCAUGAAUACUGCUAAGCUUGAGCACUGUAAAGGCAGGCGGAAAUUCCCGGUGUAACGGUGGAAUGCCUAAAAAUCC